This 549-nucleotide ribosomal RNA is filed under the name uncultured Glomeromycotina. Its description in RNAcentral is "SSU rRNA". It matches the Rfam family "Eukaryotic small subunit ribosomal RNA", at positions 548 to 1098 of the family's 1831-position model. The record is from RNAcentral. Lineage: Eukaryota; Fungi; Glomeromycota.
UUGGAGGGCAAGUCUGGUGCCAGCAGCCGCGGUAAUUCCAGCUCCAAUAGCGUAUAUUAAAGUUGUUGCAGUUAAAAAGCUCGUAGUUGAAUUUCGGGAUCAAUAUGUCGGUCGUGCCUUCGGUACGUACUGGUAUCAUUGGUCUCUCCUUUCUGACGAACCAUGAUGUCAUUAAUUUGGUGUUAUGGGGAGUUAGGACUGUUACUUUGAAAAAAUUAGAGUGUUUAAAGCAGGCUUUAGCUUGAAUACAUUAGCAUGGAAUAAUGAAAUAGGACGUUCGAACCUAUUUUGUUGGUUUCUAGGAUCAACGUAAUGAUUAAUAGGGAUAGUUGGGGGCAUUAGUAUUCAAUUGUCAGAGGUGAAAUUCUUGGAUUUAUUGAAGACUAACUACUGCGAAAGCAUUUGCCAAGGAUGUUUUCAUUAAUCAAGAACGAAAGUUAGGGGAUCGAAGACGAUCAGAUACCGUCGUAGUCUUAACCAUAAACUAUGCCGACUAGGGAUCGGACGAUGUUAAUUUUUUAAUGACUCAUUCGGCGCCUUACGGGAAAC